Molecule: long non-coding RNA, 518 nt
Filed under: Mus caroli (Ryukyu mouse)
Lineage: Eukaryota; Metazoa; Chordata; Mammalia; Rodentia; Muridae
Description: predicted gene 28982 (MGP_CAROLIEiJ_G0004397.1)
Source: RNAcentral
GGGGGCGCGCCUGACCUCCACAUUCCAGCACCAGCUGCGGGAGACUGGGGGCAAGUGGCCUGCAGUAAACUGGGGACCACAGGGCGCUGCAUUCCAGCUGGACAGCAACCUCCAAGGAUAUGGCUUUCAUGAAUCACCACUCAGGCUGGGGUGGGCUUUCGAGUGAUGCAGCUGCCUCUGAGUCACCCACACUCCUGUACAGCAAUGGGGACAGCAGCGUGCAUUCAGUGGAAACUACUUCAGGCUGCAUUUCAUCCUUCCUCAGGCUAGCAUUAUUUGCAUGAGACAGUGACAUCUACAUUGUGGAAGAACUGGGCAGUGAGGAGGAAUCAGAGCGUGCCACGUGGACACCUACUCACAAUAAUCACUUACUCCACUGACUCUGUGACUAACUCAUAGCAUUAGUGGAUAAUAAUGCUGAUUCACUGUUUGUUUUAUUUGUCUCUAAUUUGUUACUUAGAAUCAAAGCUUUUUUAAAAAAGCUAGAAUACUUUAAAUAAACCCCUUGUGAACCCUAA